AACGAACGCUGGCGGCAUGCCUAACACAUGCAAGUCGAACGAAGGCUUCGGCCUUAGUGGCGCACGGGUGCGUAACGCGUGGGAAUCUGCCCUUUGGUUCGGAAUAACAGCUGGAAACGGCUGCUAAUACCGGAUGAUGACGAAAGUCCAAAGAUUUAUCGCCAGAGGAUGAGCCCGCGUUGGAUUAGGUAGUUGGUGGGGUAAAGGCCUACCAAGCCGACGAUCCAUAGCUGGUCUGAGAGGAUGAUCAGCCACACUGGGACUGAGACACGGCCCAGACUCCUACGGGAGGCAGCAGUGGGGAAUAUUGGACAAUGGGCGCAAGCCUGAUCCAGCAAUGCCGCGUGAGUGAUGAAGGCCCUAGGGUUGUAAAGCUCUUUUACCCGGGAAGAUAACGACUGUACCGGGAGAAUAAGCCCCGGCUAACUCCGUG
This 433-nucleotide ribosomal RNA is filed under the name uncultured bacterium. Its description in RNAcentral is "partial 16S ribosomal RNA". It matches the Rfam family "Bacterial small subunit ribosomal RNA", at positions 29 to 507 of the family's 1533-position model. The record is from RNAcentral.